This 250-nucleotide ribosomal RNA is filed under the name uncultured prokaryote. RNAcentral describes it as "partial 16S ribosomal RNA". It matches the Rfam family "Bacterial small subunit ribosomal RNA", at positions 524 to 773 of the family's 1533-position model. The record is from RNAcentral.
UACGUAUGGAGCAAGCGUUAUCCGGAUUUACUGGGUGUAAAGGGAGCGCAGGCGGUGAGGCAAGUCUGAUGUGAAACUCCGGGGCCCAACCCCGGACCUGCAUUGGAAACUGUCCCACUAGAGUGUCGGAGGGGUAAGUGGAAUUCCUAGUGUAGCGGUGAAAUGCGUAGAUAUUAGGAGGAACACCAGUGGCGAAGGCGGCUUACUGGACGACAACUGACGCUGAGGCUCGAAAGCGUGGGGAGCAAAC